Molecule: transfer RNA, 70 nt
Filed under: Semnopithecus vetulus (purple-faced leaf monkey)
Lineage: Eukaryota; Metazoa; Chordata; Mammalia; Primates; Cercopithecidae
Description: Trachypithecus vetulus (purple-faced leaf monkey) tRNA-His
Rfam family: tRNA
About the family: Transfer RNA (tRNA) molecules are approximately 80 nucleotides in length. Their secondary structure includes four short double-helical elements and three loops (D, anti-codon, and T loops). Further hydrogen bonds mediate the characteristic L-shaped molecular structure. tRNAs have two regions of fundamental functional importance: the anti-codon, which is responsible for specific mRNA codon recognition, and the 3' end, to which the tRNAs corresponding amino acid is attached (by aminoacyl-tRNA synthetases). tRNAs cope with the degeneracy of the genetic code in two manners: having more than one tRNA (with a specific anti-codon) for a particular amino acid; and 'wobble' base-pairing, i.e. permitting non-standard base-pairing at the 3rd anti-codon position.
Source: RNAcentral
GUAAAUAUAGUUUAACCNAAAACAUUAGAUUGUGAAUCUAAAUACAGAAGCCCACUACUUCUUAUUUACC